This 497-nucleotide ribosomal RNA is filed under the name uncultured bacterium. RNAcentral's name for it is "partial 16S ribosomal RNA". It matches the Rfam family "Bacterial small subunit ribosomal RNA", at positions 28 to 507 of the family's 1533-position model. The record is from RNAcentral.
GACGAACGCUGGCGGCGUGCCUAAUACAUGCAAGUCGAACGAGAGCGCCCGGUGCUUGCCCUGGUCAAUCUAGUGGCGAACGGGUGAGUAACACGUGGGUAACCUGCCCAUCAGAGGGGGAUAACAUCCGGAAACGGAUGCUAAAACCGCAUAGGUCUUCGAGCCGCAUGACUUGAAGAGGAAAAGAGGCGCAAGCUUCUGCUGAUGGAUGGACCCGCGGUGCAUUAGCUAGUUGGUGAGGUAACGGCUCACCAAGGCCGUGAUGCAUAGCCGACCUGAGAGGGUGAUCGGCCACAUUGGGACUGAGACACGGCCCAAACUCCUACGGGAGGCAGCAGUAGGGAAUCUUCCGCAAUGACGCAAGUCUGACGGAGCAACGCCGCGUGAGUGAAGAAGGUUUUCGGAUCGUAAAACUCUGUUGUUAGAGAAGAACAGGUGCUAGAGUAACUGUUAGCGCCUUGACGGUAUCUAACCAGAAAGCCACGGCUAACUACGUG